AUCAUUGGGCGUAAAGCCGGUUGUAGCCGGAACUGUAAGUCAGAAGUGAAAGCCCUGGGCUCAACCCAGGAAGUGCUUUUGAAACUAUGGUUCUUGAGUGCAGAAGAGGAGAGUGGAAUUCCUAGUGUAGUGGUGAAAUACGUAGAUAUUAGGAGGAACACCGGUGGCGAAGGCGGCUCUCUGGUCUGUCACUGACGCUCAGACCCGAAAGCGUGGGUAGCAAACAGGAUUAGAUACCCUGGUAGUCCACGCCGUAAACGAUGGAUACUUGGUGUUGGAGGUAUUGACCCCUUCAGUGUCGUAGCUAACGCGUUAAGUAUCCCGCCUGAGGAGUACGGUCGCAAGAUUAAAACUCAAAGAAAUUGACGGGGGCCCGCACAAGCGGUGGAGCAUGUGGUUUAAUUCGAUGCAACGCGAAAAACCUUACCGGGGUUUGACAUGUACUGGAAGUACUCAGAGAUGAGUGUGCCUUCGGGCCGGUACACAGGUGCUGCAUGGCUGUCGUCAGCUCGUGUCGUGAGAUGUUGGGUUAAGUCCCGCAACGAGCGCAACCCCUAUCUUUAGUUGCCAGCAUUUAGUUGGGCACUCUAAAGGGACUGCCGACGUUAAGUCGGAGGAAGGUGGGGAUGACGUCAAGUCCUCAUGGCCUUUAUAUCCAGGGCUACACACGUGCUACAAUGGUAGGUACAGAGGGUGACCAAACCGCAAGGUGGAGUUAAUCUCUUAAAGCUUAUCUAAGUUCGGAUUGGAGUCUGCAACUCGACUCCAUGAAGUUGGAAUCGCUAGUAAUCGCGGAUCAGAAUGCCGCGGUGAUACGUUCCCGGGCCUUGUACACACCGCCCGUCACACCAUGAAAGUUGGCUAUACCAGAAGUCGCUGAGCUAACCUCGGAGGCAAGCGCCCAAGGUAUGGUCGAUGAUUGGGGUGAAGUCGUAACAAG
This 940-nucleotide ribosomal RNA is filed under the name uncultured organism. RNAcentral describes it as "bacterial SSU rRNA". It matches the Rfam family "Bacterial small subunit ribosomal RNA", at positions 550 to 1495 of the family's 1533-position model. The record is from RNAcentral.